RNAcentral lists this ribosomal RNA (462 nucleotides) under uncultured bacterium. RNAcentral's name for it is "partial 16S ribosomal RNA". It matches the Rfam family "Bacterial small subunit ribosomal RNA", at positions 28 to 506 of the family's 1533-position model. The record is from RNAcentral.
GACGAACGCUGGCGGCGUGCUUAACACAUGCAAGUCGAGCGGUAAGGCCCUUCGUGGUACACGAGCGGCGAACGGGUGAGUAACACGUGCGUAAUCUGCCCAUCACUUCGGGAUAACUCCGGGAAACCGGUGCUAAUACCGAAUAUGACCACUUCAGGCAUCUGAUGGUGGUGGAAAGUUCCGGCGGCGAUGGAUGAGCUCGCGGCCUAUCAGCUUGUUGGUGGGGUAGUGGACUACCAAGGCUUCGACGGGUAGCCGGCCUGAGAGGGUGACCGGCCACACAGGGAUUGGGACACGGCCCAGACGCCUACGGGAGGCAGCAGUGGGGAAUAGUUGACAAUGGGCGAAAGCUGGAUCCAGCAACGCCGCGUGAGGGAGGACGGCCUUCGGGGUGGAAACCUCUUUCAGCAGGAACGAAGCGCAAGUGACGGAACCUGCAGAAGAAGCACCGGCCAACUACGG